RNAcentral lists this ribosomal RNA (602 nucleotides) under uncultured bacterium. RNAcentral's name for it is "bacterial SSU rRNA". It matches the Rfam family "Bacterial small subunit ribosomal RNA", at positions 338 to 1331 of the family's 1533-position model. The record is from RNAcentral.
CCUACGGGAGGCAGCAGUGGGGAAUCUUGCGCAAUGGGCGAAAGCCUGACGCAGCAACGCCGCGUGCGGGAUGAAGGCCUUCGGGUUGUAAACCGCUUUCAGCAGGGAAGAAAUUGACGGUACCUGCAGAAGAAGCCCCGGCCAACUACGUGCCAGCAGCCGCGGUAACACGUAGGGGGCGAGCGUUGUCCGGAUUUAUUGGGCGUAAAGAGCUCGUAGGCGGUUCGGUAAGUCGGGUGUGAAACCUCCAGGCUCAACCUGGAGACGCCACCUGAAACUGCUGUGACUAGAGUCCGGUAGGGGAGUGUGGAACUCCUGGUGUAGCGGUGAAAUGCGCAGAUAUCAGGAAGAACACCAGCGGCGAAGGCGGCACUCUGGGCCGGUACUGACGCUGAGGAGCGAAAGCGUGGGUAGCAAACAGGAUUAGAUACCCUGGUAGUCCACGCCGUAAACGUUGGGCACUAGGUGUGGGUCUCAACCAACGAGAUCCGUGCCGCAGCUAACGCAUUAAGUGCCCCGCCUGGGGAGUACGGCCGCAAGGCUAAAACCGUUAANAAGUAGUAGUACGCGCGAGAGACGCGACGACGACGACGACGGAGGAG